RNAcentral lists this ribosomal RNA (328 nucleotides) under uncultured eukaryote. RNAcentral's name for it is "partial 18S ribosomal RNA". It matches the Rfam family "Eukaryotic small subunit ribosomal RNA", at positions 1470 to 1796 of the family's 1831-position model. The record is from RNAcentral.
CCCUUAGAUGUUCUGGGCUGCACGCGCGCUACACUGAUGCGCUCAACGAGUUUUAACCUUGCCUGGAAAGGUUGGGUAAUCUUUUUAAAACGCAUCGUGAUGGGGAUAGAUUAUUGCAAUUAUUAAUCUUGAACGAGGAAUUCCUAGUAAACGCAAGUCAUCAGCUUGCAUUGAUUACGUCCCUGCCCUUUGUACACACCGCCCGUCGCACCUACCGAUUGAAUGACUCGGUGAAAAAUUGGGACUGUGAUUGAAAUUGCUUCAUUGCGAAUUUAAUUAUGGAAACUUUCUUUAACCUAGGCAUUUAGAGGAAGGUGAAGUCGUAACA